Molecule: ribosomal RNA, 587 nt
Filed under: uncultured haloarchaeon
Lineage: Archaea; Methanobacteriati; Methanobacteriota; Halobacteria; Halobacteriales; Halobacteriaceae
Description: bacterial SSU rRNA
Rfam family: Archaeal small subunit ribosomal RNA
Source: RNAcentral
GCAGGCGCGAAACCUCUACACUGUACGCAAGUGCGAUAAGGGGACUCCGAGUGUGAAGGCAUAGAGCCUUCACUUUUGUACACCGUAAGGUGGUGUACGAAUAAGGGCUGGGCAAGACCGGUGCCAGCCGCCGCGGUAAUACCGGCAGCCCGAGUGAUGGCCGAUAUUAUUGGGCCUAAAGCGUCCGUAGCUGGCCGGACAAGUCCGUUGGGAAAUCUGUUCGCUUAACGAGCAGGCGUCCAGCGGAAACUGUUCGGCUUGGGACCGGAAGACCUGAGGGGUACGUCCGGGGUAGGAGUGAAAUCCUGUAAUCCUGGACGGACCACCGGUGGCGAAAGCGCCUCAGGAGGACGGAUCCGACAGUGAGGGACGAAAGCUAGGGUCUCGAACCGGAUUAGAUACCCGGGUAGUCCUAGCUGUAAACGAUGCCCGCUAGGUGUGGCGCAGGCUACGAGCCUGCGCUGUGCCGUAGGGAAGCCGAGAAGCGGGCCGCCUGGGAAGUACGUCUGCAAGGAUGAAACUUAAAGGAAUUGGCGGGGGAGCACUACAACCGGAGGAGCCUGCGGUUUAAUUGGAUUCAACGCCGG